AUACGAAGGGGGCUAGCGUUGUUCGGAAUUACUGGGCGUAAAGCGCACGUAGGCGGAUAUUUAAGUCAGGGGUGAAAUCCCAGAGCUCAACUCUGGAACUGCCUUUGAUACUGGGUAUCUUGAGUAUGAAAGAGGUAAGUGGAAUUCCGAGUGUAGAGGUGAAAUUCGUAGAUAUUCGGAGGAACACCAGUGGCGAAGGCGGCUUACUGGUCCAUUACUGACGCUGAGGUGCGAAAGCGUGGGGAGCAAACAGCAUUAGAAACCCCAGUAGUCC
This 274-nucleotide ribosomal RNA is filed under the name uncultured bacterium. Its description in RNAcentral is "partial 16S ribosomal RNA". It matches the Rfam family "Bacterial small subunit ribosomal RNA", at positions 523 to 796 of the family's 1533-position model. The record is from RNAcentral.